GAGGUAAUGGCUCACCAAGGCUACGAUCCGUAACUGGUCUGAGAGGAUGAUCAGUCACACUGGAACUGAGACACGGUCCAGACUCCUACGGGAGGCAGCAGUGGGGAAUAUUGGACAAUGGGCGAAAGCCUUGAUCCAGCCAUGCCGCGUGUGUGAAGAAGGUCUUCGGAUUGUAAAGCACUUUAAGUUGGGAGGAAGGGUACUUACCUAAUACGUGAGUAUUUUGACGUUACCGACAGAAUAAGCACCGGCUAACUCUGUGCCAGCAGCCGCGGUAAUACAGAGGGUGCAAGCGUUAAUCGGAAUUACUGGGCGUAAAGCGCGCGUAGGUGGUUUGUUAAGUUGGAUGUGAAAGCCCCGGGCUCAACCUGGGAACUGCAUCCAAAACUGGCAAGCUAGAGUAUGGUAGAGGGUGGUGGAAUUUCCUGUGUAGCGGUGAAAUGCGUAGAUAUAGGAAGGAACACCAGUGGCGAAGGCGACCACCUGGACUGAUACUGACACUGAGGUGCGAAA
Molecule: ribosomal RNA, 513 nt
Filed under: Pseudomonas sp. Z104
Lineage: Bacteria; Pseudomonadati; Pseudomonadota; Gammaproteobacteria; Pseudomonadales; Pseudomonadaceae
Description: bacterial SSU rRNA
Rfam family: Bacterial small subunit ribosomal RNA
Source: RNAcentral